AGAGUUUGAUCCUGGCUCAGGACGAACGCUGGCGGCAUGCCUAAUACAUGCAAGUCGAACGAGCUUCCGUUGAAUGACGUGCUUGCACUGAUUUUAACAAUGAAGCGAGUGGCGAACUGGUGAGUAACACGUGGGAAAUCUGCCCAGAAGCAGGGGAUAACACUUGGAAACAGGUGCUAAUACCGUAUAACAACAAAAUCCGCAUGGAUUUUGUUUGAAAGGUGGCUUCGGCUAUCACUUCUGGAUGAUCCCGCGGCGUAUUAGUUAGUUGGUGAGGUAGAGGCCCACCAAGACGAUGAUACGUAGCCGACCUGAGAGGGUAAUCGGCCACAUUGGGACUGAGACACGGCCCAAACUCCUACGGGAGGCAGCAGUAGGGAAUCUUCCACAAUGGACGAAAGUCUGAUGGAGCAAUGCCGCGUGAGUGAAGAAGGGUUUCGGCUCGUAAAACUCUGUUGUUAAAGAAGAACACCUUUGAGAGUAACUGUUCAAGGGUUGACGGUAUUUAACCAGAAAGCCACGGCUAACUACGUGCCAGCAGCCGCGGUAAUACGUAGGUGGCAAGCGUUGUCCGGAUUUAUUGGGCGUAAAGCGAGCGCAGGCGGUUUUUUAAGUCUGAUGUGAAAGCCUUCGGCUUAACCGGAGAAGUGCAUCGGAAACUGGGAGACUUGAGUGCAGAAGAGGACAGUGGAACUCCAUGUGUAGCGGUGGAAUGCGUAGAUAUAUGGAAGAACACCAGUGGCGAAGGCGGCUGUCUAGUCUGUAACUGACGCUGAGGCUCGAAAGCAUGGGUAGCGAACAGGAUUAGAUACCCUGGUAGUCCAUGCCGUAAACGAUGAGUGCUAAUGUGUUGGAGGGUUUCCGCCCUUCAGUGCUGCAGCUAACGCAUUAAGCACUCCGCCUGGGGAGUAC
Molecule: ribosomal RNA, 912 nt
Filed under: uncultured bacterium
Lineage: Bacteria
Description: bacterial SSU rRNA
Rfam family: Bacterial small subunit ribosomal RNA
Source: RNAcentral